UAUUAUUUUUAUAGCUUGAAUUUUGAUUAAUUAAUGAGUAUGAAUUCUGAAAUUUCGUUCAAACUGGGUUGAGGAGUUUGCACCUUUUAAUUUUCGAAAUAUUGACGUUUGUGCUAUCGUAAGGCGACAUAGGUAAGGUUUUGAUAGUUUAAUUCAAGGAUAAAAUACUAUGGUAUGUUGUUGAUGAAGGGAUCAAAACCUAAGUUAUAUAAUGUUGAAUUUUGAUGGUUAAUGGAUUGAAAGGGACAUGGAUAUUGGUUAUAUGAUACAUAGAAACGCAUUUAGAAUAGGAAAACGAAAGAAAAUCGGACUUUAGGCAUCAAAAUGGAAAGGGUUUGAAAUCUGGACCUUCAAUAUCUAUGGGAUGUGUAUUUAUAUUGGUUAAUUUGAUAGUGUGUUUAGAAUCUACGUCGAAAACUGGAGCCAACGCCAUUUUUCGAGAAUUUUCCGACGUCGUUUCGACAACUUUCAGUUUUUGGGGGAUUGUUCCCAAAAAUCCCUAAGUUAAAAGUCUAUAUAAUUAGAGGUUAACUAAGGUAAUUGGGAAUUCCUAAUCUUGAUUAGUGAGGUGAGUAAGGAAUGUACGUAAAGUCGUUAGAAGUGAAUCAGAUGUCGGUACCCUACAGUCGAAUGUAUCGAAAAAAGGGCAUUAGUAGAUAAUAUGGUUAUUGAUUUAAGUUUGAUAAUUUGAUUAUGGAAAUAUAAUUUAGAAUAAAUAUAAAGGUUAAUGUGAAUUUAUGAGAAUUUUAGAAAUUCGGUAGGGGGCCGAGAGCCGAUAAAAUUGAAAAUACGGGCGCAACGGUUAAGGAAUGAGAUAAUAAGACGUAUGUUCAUAAUUAUGUGAAUAAAUGACUUAUAGUUUGAUAUUUAUAUAAUGUGUAAAGGCGAAUAGAUAUAUAGUAAGAAGAUCACUAAGGAAUGGACUUAGAAGGUAGCGAAGCGUCGAAAGGUGAUAAAGGCUUAUGUUUAUAAGCCUACGAGGUUACAGUUGAUAUUAUGUCAGUGGUGUUGAGCAGCUUUGCAUCUUUGGCGAGUCACUGGUGGUCAACUUGGUUUAGUAGUCGUGGCAUGUUGUGUAAUAGUUUAAUCUUUAAUCUUCCGCUGGAUAAAUGUUAAGUUUUUUUUAAAUGUAAUUGAUUUUAAUUGUGCUUUUAACUAAAAAAAAAAGGAAAAUUUCAGCAA
Long non-coding RNA from Salvia splendens (bonfire salvia), 1182 nucleotides. RefSeq lists it as uncharacterized. Lineage: Eukaryota; Viridiplantae; Streptophyta; Magnoliopsida; Lamiales; Lamiaceae. The record is from RefSeq and is a predicted model, not a curated record. The transcript is spliced from 2 exons.